AUUUUAGCCCUGGAUUCCAGGUCUGUACUUGGACAUCAAAUGUCAAACUGACAUUUGAUGUCCAGGCAAUAACUACUGAAGCAUGAAAAGAACACAACUUGGUUAGACAAACUGCUGUUGUAUCUUCAUAUUGUGGAAUGGAGGGUCACAAUUGACCUUUUGGCGAGACUGACGAAUAAUAUUAAUAUACUUGAAAUGUGACAAAUUGGGCCUAGAGCAAAGUUACCAUGUUCGAGAUUAAAAGUAAGCUUAUUCACCACAAGGCUAAGCUCGUUUACUAUUGUAAUAUUAAUUGACCACUAUAACCAUGACUCAGUUUAAGAGACCACUUCUUUGAAUCUUUCAGUGUAAUUGCUCCUCUGACUGACAACCGCAUGGGCUCAUAUUAAAACCACAGAGCUAACAAAGAGGAAGGAAGUUCGUCAUUGCCUCCUCCACCCUAACUUGUGUCCGGGCAUCAUUUAAGAGAGAGCACAGCUUCUGCUGAGACACGUGGGGAAAUGAAGCUGGUGAGAGGCUGCAGUGGUUGAAUAACAAGACUGUUUCUGUCUUUAACCCCCACUUCUCCGCCGCCUUCUGCUGCACGUCUUUCUCCUCCUCCACCUCCCCCUUUUCGUUCUCUUCUUCUUCUCUCCUUGCGCUCUCCCCCGGCUACAGACUGGAGAAGAGUACGGCUCAACGCAGUGCAACUGCCGCCUUUAUAUACCGCUCUAUUUUUAGCUCUCACAAGCCCAACUAUUUUUAACCAAUAUGAUUUCAUCGCCCGUCUGGCUUGUCCAAUGGGAAGUCACGCAAUGGAGGCGACCCGUCCAAUUAGAGAGAGGUAAAAGAAAGAGGAGGCGGGUGACAGAAGAGCAUGGAAUCAGGUAGAAAGAUGGAAGGAGACAAAAACCUCUCACUCUACAACUGUUUCUAGAUACUAGAAACUCACUAGCUCAGGCUAACACACUGCUGAGCACUCAAACUAGACAAAGGGCCUCUGUGUGAUUAUGGUUCAUGUUCUCCUUGUCGGCUUGUCAUCUCUGUUCCUGCCUGGUCCUUGGUUUCUAACUGAUAGACGACUUCUUUCCAUUAUAAUGUCUACCAUUCAAAUAUCGAAGGAACUCAGCAACUCGCGAUAACUCCAAGAAUUCUGCACGUAGAAACACGGACCAAACGAAAGGUGGCAGCACUGUCAUAUUUAAGAGAACCAAGAUGCCCCAACCAACAUUCACUGGACUUUAUUUGAAUUUUAAACAAAUGUUGAUUUUUAAUCAUUAACUGCUGAAUUAAAAAAUUAUUAAAAAACAAACUGUAUGAGCCACGAU
Long non-coding RNA from Cynoglossus semilaevis (tongue sole), 1307 nucleotides. RefSeq lists it as uncharacterized. NCBI's taxonomy places the organism in Eukaryota, Metazoa, Chordata, Actinopteri, Pleuronectiformes, Cynoglossidae. The record is from RefSeq and is a predicted model, not a curated record. The transcript is spliced from 4 exons.